This 2224-nucleotide long non-coding RNA is filed under the name Homo sapiens (human). RNAcentral describes it as "HSALNT0325872". Lineage: Eukaryota; Metazoa; Chordata; Mammalia; Primates; Hominidae. The record is from RNAcentral.
ACAUUGUUAUGCAAUGGAACACUAGAAUUUAUUCCUCCUAUAUUACUGGAACUUUGUAUGUUUUGACCAACCUUUCCCCAUCCACCCUACCCUCAACCCUUCAAAGCUUCCAGUAAAACAACUAUGCUGCUCUCCACUUCGAUGAGAUCAACUUUUUAAAAUUUUACAUGCGAAGCUACAUCUGAUUCCAGUGGGGCUUUGUUAAUGCGAUCCUUUCUCACUGUACCUGUUGCCUGAUGUUCCAUUGAACUGAGCUUAUCAAGAAGUGCAAUACUGGUGAAAAAGUUAUCGAAUACAAAAUGAUAUUGUCCAGGGUGUGUGUAAGUCCCUCACUAAACUUAUGAAUAAGUGAUGCACCAACACCGUAUUCUUCAUAUUUAGUAUUUGGGUUUUUACCCUGAUACGGCUGAAAGCAGCAAAUGUGGCACAGACAUGUGGCACCACAACAAAACUUACAGCCAAACAUAAUGGGCUUUCCCUGAAUAAAUUGUUUGCACCUGUGACAACCAGAAUAAGGAACCAUGGAUUCAUUAAAGCUGAAAUAUGUCUCAUUUGGAACAAAUUUCAUACAUCUCUCAUUACGUUUGCUUAUGAGAAGUCGCAACUUGGAAAAUUUGUCCAUUGGAUCCAAAUUUGCAUCGUCAGCAACAUGCAAAUUAGAAAAUUUAGUUUCAAAGCGGUCACGUCUCAUGGCAGCAAUAACCAGUACAUUAUGCGCAUCUGGUUUGUUGUUGUUGUUGUUCCCAAAACAUACGGCUUCUAGGAACUGAGAUGUAACCACUCAGAAAAAUAAUUCCCAGAAAAUAUUUGAAUUCGGAGCUAGUCAAGCCAAGAUGUACACCCUUAACUUCGAGCCUGUAAGUUGGAGUACUUGACAAUGAGUUCAACGACUUCGUCAUCAUGAAAAAGUUCCAGAAUUUCUGUGGGAGUUCUCAUUUCGGUGAAUAAAUCGUUUGGUGGUUCUGUAAUUCUACCUGCUACAAGUUGUGCAGUUAGGUCCCUCUCUUCCAUUUGCAAACAAUUUUUGUCACUUUCCUCCUCCUUGAUGGUGGAAGUUGCUGCGCGGUAGACGUAGAUGGAUCUUCGUCAGGAGAGUCAAAUUUAAGUGCGUAUGAGGGAUCAUCAGAGUUAGACUCUGCAUCAGAAUCACCUUUAUAAGAUUUGCAGUUGCGCGCAACAAAGAACCUGGCAGAUUUUUUAUUGUUCCACCUUCUUCGUCCCCGGAGUCCUCAUCAGAAACAGUUUCAGAAAUAUCAGAUUAAGAAAGCUGCUCUGCCAUGAAGGUGAUACUCUCUCCAGUAUACUCUUUGAUUGGGCCAAGAAAAAUUGGGAGAAGAAAAGGACAUAACAGCACUCAUAAAAAAAUUCUAAGAUCAGUAGGCCAGGAAGCUAUGCAAGGGAGGCAGACUAAGGGCAAACUUUCAGUAUAAGGAAAACACGUGAUAUUUGGCCAGUAGGAUUUCAGAAUUUCUAUGGCCCUGUGACUGCUGGGCACUUCCCUUUCUUUCCCCUUUGCAAUCCAAACUGUUACUGGGGUUUAUUCUGUUCCAGUUUUAUAUGUUCUCUAUGGCUUUGUGUGUGGUGGGUGUCAUGGUGGGAUACUCACUGUUUUAGCAUACAAGUCUCUGAAUCAAAAGACACUAUAUAAAGACAUAAAGUAGAAUAUAUCAAGAAAUUCUGGAUCUUGAGUUGAUGCCACAAUCGAUUGAAAUUUUUGUUGUCGUUGUUCUUGUUUUUGGUUUUUUGAGACAAGAUCUUGCUCUAUCACCCAGGCUGGAGUGCAGUGGCGCAAUCUCGGCUCACUGAAACUUCUGCUUCCUGAGCUCAAGCGAUUCUCAUGCCUCAGCCUCCCAAGUAACCAGGAUUAUAGGAGUUCACCACCACGUCUGGCACAUUUUUUUUUUUUUUUGUAUUUUCAAUAGAGACAGUGUUUCACCAUGAUAGCCAGACUGGUCUCGAACGCUUGACCUCAAGUGAUCAGCCCACUUCGGCCUCCCAAAGUGCUGGGAUUACAGGGGUGAGCCACCGUGCCAGGCCGGACGGAAAUAUUGAGUGCUCCUUGGAAAGAAUGGUAGUGUGUUUCUCGUACAAAAAGCAAAUAAGUAAAUAUUUUUGACCAGUAAUAAAAUUUCUUAUUACUUUCCAUUAUUAUUUCUCAUUUAUGUUUGCUUUUUGUAAGGUCUUACACACAUACAUAUACAUAUAUACAUAUAUAAUGUAUUCA